GACGAACGCUUGCGGCAUGCCUGAGAAAUGCAAGUCGAACGAGAUCCGGGGCAACUCGGGUCUAGUGGCGAACGGUCGAGUAACACGUAAGCAACCUGCCCGGAAGCGGGGGAUAAGCCGUCGAAAGACGGGGUAAUACCGCAUAACUUCGGGGGCUGAUGGCCCUUGAAGAAAGAUUUAUCACUUCCGGAGGGGCUUGCGGCCUAUCAGCUAGUUGGCGGGGUAACGGCCCACCAAGGCGACGACGGGAGCUGGUCUGAGAGGACGGCCAGCCGGACUGGGACUGAGACACGGCCCAGACUCCUACGGGGGGCAGCAAUCAGGAAUCUUGCGCAAUGGGCGAAGGCCUGACGCAAGCGAUGCCGCGUGGACGAUGAAAGUCUUUCGGA
Molecule: ribosomal RNA, 389 nt
Filed under: uncultured bacterium
Lineage: Bacteria
Description: bacterial SSU rRNA
Rfam family: Bacterial small subunit ribosomal RNA
Source: RNAcentral